CACUGGGCCUAGGAGCGCGGCCUACACUCGCUCGGAAAAGCGGGGAUAUCGUUCGCAUUUAGUUGGAAUUCUCUGGCAGCAAAGGCAGACUCACUCCACUGCAGUCCUACACAGCGGGAGAAAGAGAGAGAGAAGGAGAUAGAGCGAUGCUCUCAUGGAACUGUUAGCUUUGGCAGGCAGCGAGGGAAGAGGGGCCGGAUUGAGGAGAAAGGAAUGAUUCGGGAGAAAAAAGGAAGAGGGGGCCAGCUACAAAAAGAAGAAGGAGAGGAGAACAACAAUGAACAAUGUGGGACUUGUGGCCUGGCUCUAUCCCUUGGGAGAGCACUUCAGAGGGGAUGGUCUAUUAAAGAUGGCGGACGAGAUGCUGCAACACCCCCGGGGGCAUGAGUGAGAUGGAUGGAGGAAAAGUGGAGCCAGUCGACACUACUAGCUACUUACCUGACUGACUGUCGCUCCUCAAUGUUCAUGAUUCAUUAAGUCAACCACCAGUUUGGGAAAUGUCACCAUGCUGGAGAGGGAAACCACAAGAAAGAAACCUCUCUUCGCUGUUGUGCUUUCUUAGCGUGUGAGAUUGUGCACAGUACCUUUUAAACAUGUAGGUAGGGAGUAUUCUUAUCUUUGGCAAAUAGCCAAAUAACUAAAUAUGAGUCUUUCAUUUGAUGUAUUGAUUAUGCUGUUAUCCUGGGUGGCAGGUAACAUAGUGGUUAAGAGCAUUGGGCCAGUAUCUGAAAGCUUGCUGGUUUGAAUCCCCAAGCUGACUAGGUGAAAAAUCUGCCGAUGUGCUCUUGAGCAAGGCACUUAACCCUUAUUCCUCUGGAUAAGAGCGUCUGCUAAAAUCUUAUAUUACAUCAUGUGCUGAUCUAUAUGAUUUGCUGUAACUUGGUAUCAGAACCCUGUUCUUUAUCAAGCACUUUGCUAAACAGUGUAUCUCUUAUUUACUUCAUUCUCUCAAGUUCAAACUAAGCACAACAGAAGACCCUGGCACACUGAAAUAAACCAGAUAGAACUUAACAGCUUAAAUAAUCUUAGAAUCCCAUCCAUCUAGCUCAGCGGCGUGAGGCCUCUGUGAGGUGAUGGUGGACAGGGUCACAGCGGUCAGCCAGCCCUUCAGACACUGCUCUAAACACUGCCCUAUUGUUUCUGCUUGUCUUCCGGCCGGCUGUUAGCUCUGGUCUGUGUUUGAUGCAGUCCAGACUCUGCCGUGUGUGGUGGGUGUGCCUCAUACUCAGCCCUGUGACACUAGACACAGACAGACACCAACAAGAAGGAAGGAAGGAAGGAAGUGGAUCUCAGAGUCCACUCAGCCACCAGCCAAAUGGCCGUCCAGCAGCCAGCUCACACUAGUCAACAGUUCAACGGGUUUGUUCUGCUUUCACAGGCUUCCAGAAGAGGAAAUGGGAGAGUCAACUAAAAUAAAUUCCUGGUUAGCCCUUUCCUGCAGUCAAAUGACUAGUGGCCUCACGGGUGGAAUAUUUUAAAUAUUUUUUAUAAUUUCAUAAUUAAUAAA
Molecule: long non-coding RNA, 1507 nt
Organism: Salvelinus fontinalis (brook trout)
Lineage: Eukaryota; Metazoa; Chordata; Actinopteri; Salmoniformes; Salmonidae
Exons: 3
Source: RefSeq, a predicted model, not a curated record